GAUGAAGAACGUAGCGAAAUGCGAUAAGUAAUGUGAAUUGCAGAAUUCAGUGAAUCAUCGAGUCUUUGAACGCACAUUGCGCCCCCUGGUAUACCGGGGGGCAUGCCUGUCCGAGCGUCAUUGCUGCCCUCAAGCACGGCUUGUGUGUUGGGCCUCCGUCCUCCUCCCGGGGGACGGGCCCGAAAGGCAGCGGCGGCACCGCGUCCGGUCCUCGAGCGUAUGGGGCUUCGUCACCCGCUCUUGUAGGCCCGGCCGGCGCUUGCCGACACAUCAAUCUUUUUUCCAGGUUGACCUCGGAUCAGGUAGGGAUACCCGCUGAACUUAAGCAUAUCAAUAAGCGGAGGA
RNAcentral lists this unclassified non-coding RNA (345 nucleotides) under soil metagenome. RNAcentral describes it as "partial contains 5.8S ribosomal RNA, internal transcribed spacer 2, and large subunit ribosomal RNA". The stretch from base 1 to 120 matches the Rfam family "5.8S ribosomal RNA", at positions 35 to 154 of the family's 154-position model. The record is from RNAcentral.